CCAGACUCCUACGGGAGGCAGCAGUGAGGAAUAUUGGUCAAUGGCCGAGAGGCUGAACCAGCCAAGUCGCGUGAGGGAAGACGGCCCUACGGGUUGUAAACCUCUUUUGUCGGGGAGCAAAGAGAGUCACGUGUGACUCAUUGAGAGUACCCGAAGAAAAAGCAUCGGCUAACUCCGUGCCAGCAGCCGCGGUAAUACGUAGGGGGCGAGCGUUAUCCGGAUUCAUUGGGCGUAAAGCGCGCGUAGGCGGCCGCCUAAGCGGGACCUCUAACCCCGGGGCUCAACCCCGGGCCGGGUCCCGGACUGGGCGGCUCGAGUGCGGUAGAGGAGAGCGGAAUUCCCGGUGUAGCGGUGGAAUGCGCAGAUAUCGGGAAGAACACCGAUGGCGAAGGCAGCUCUCUGGGCCGUCACUGACGCUGAGGCGCGAAAGCUGGGGGAGCGAACAGGAUUAGAUACCCCUGUA
This 463-nucleotide ribosomal RNA is filed under the name uncultured bacterium. Its description in RNAcentral is "bacterial SSU rRNA". It matches the Rfam family "Bacterial small subunit ribosomal RNA", at positions 331 to 792 of the family's 1533-position model. The record is from RNAcentral.